CCCCUGCUGUGCAGUGUGAUGCGGCAUGGGGGGGCAGCAGUCUGUCCUUCCUACUUUUGAUGGACCACUGUGAGGCUGCUGGGGGGCGGCCCUUGGUGCCCGUGAACCUCUCAAGGCUGUUUCCAGCCUUUCUGUUCACGAUGAACACUGAGGUGGCAUCCUCGUCCUCAAAGGGUAGUUUCCUUCUUCAAGGGUCAUUUUUGGGGGCCUUGAAGGCCUAUUGAUGCCCUCCCCCUGGUGGGCUUGCCACCUCUUUUAUUCUGGGUGCUUGGGGACCUGGCCUCUGGGGGAGGGGUUCCUCCCCCUCUCUGCUCCUGCUCAGGGCCAGACACCCAGCCGCCUGGAAGCCCCUCGCUGACCUGAAUUGAGAGCCUUCUGUCCUUCCUGAGCCUCUACUCCCCUGUGUGGGGAGCCCCAGUUUAGAGGCUGGCCUGGGAGAGGGCCCCUUUCUCUGCUUUGUGACCUGGGACAUCUGCUGCCCCCCUGCCUUGGACACACCACAGUGAGGUGGAGGUGCAGCUCCUGGCUGGGUCCCCCAUUUCCUGCAGCUCAGCCCCAGGAGCUGCAUUCCAGGACCCUGGCGCUGGGGCCACACUCUGGAGGAGGCCAUGGGCUGGGCCUGACCUUCUACUCCAUUGUCUCUGGGGACGAUGGGUCGCCCAGGACCCCCAGGGGAGAAGGUCUCUGGCACCCAGCUGUCGGGGGCCCCCCAGGCCCCCAGAGACGCCCCUGGUGAUGCCAUGCCUGGUCCUGAGGACUCUGACCUGGUUCCCUCAGUGACCUUGGCGGCGGCUCUCACCCUGUUGUUCCUCCUGCUGUCAGCCUGGCUGGUAUGGGGCAGGCCCUGCCGGACCUCCUGCUAACCCGGGUUCCCAGUUUUCGGCGGACACAACAUCUUUGUUUGUAUGUGGUGC
Long non-coding RNA from Marmota flaviventris (yellow-bellied marmot), 914 nucleotides. RefSeq lists it as uncharacterized. Lineage: Eukaryota; Metazoa; Chordata; Mammalia; Rodentia; Sciuridae. The record is from RefSeq and is a predicted model, not a curated record.